Molecule: ribosomal RNA, 532 nt
Filed under: Pediococcus acidilactici
Lineage: Bacteria; Bacillati; Bacillota; Bacilli; Lactobacillales; Lactobacillaceae
Description: bacterial SSU rRNA
Rfam family: Bacterial small subunit ribosomal RNA
Source: RNAcentral
CGCACAAGCGGUGGAGCAUGUGGUUUAAUUCGAAGCUACGCGAAGAACCUUACCAGGUCUUGACAUCUUCUGCCAACCUAAGAGAUUAGGCGUUCCCUUCGGGGACAGAAUGACAGGUGGUGCAUGGUUGUCGUCAGCUCGUGUCGUGAGAUGUUGGGUUAAGUCCYGCAACGAGCGCAACCCUUAUUACUAGUUGCCAGCAUUCAGUUGGGCACUCUAGUGAGACUGCCGGUGACAAACCGGAGGAAGGUGGGGACGACGUCAAAUCAUCAUKCCCCUUAUGACCUGGGCUACACACGUGCUACAAUGGAUGGUACAACGAGUCGCGAAACCGCGAGGUUUAGCUAAUCUCUUAAAACCAUUCUCAGUUCGGACUGUAGGCUGCAACUCGCCUACAYGAAGUCGGAAUCGCUAGUAAUCGCGGAUCAGCAUGCCGCGGUGAAUACGUUCCCGGGCCUUGUACACACCGCCCGUCACACCAUGAGAGUUUGUAACACCCAAAGCCGGUGGGGUAACCUUUUAGGAGCUAGCC